Molecule: ribosomal RNA, 511 nt
Filed under: uncultured bacterium
Lineage: Bacteria
Description: partial 16S ribosomal RNA
Rfam family: Bacterial small subunit ribosomal RNA
Source: RNAcentral
AGGAAUGCUUCCACAAUGGACGAAAGUCUGAUGGAGCAACGCCGCGUGAGUGAUGAAGGGUUUCGGCUCGUAAAACUCUGUUGUUGGAGAAGAACGGGUGUCAGAGUAACUGUUGACAUCGUGACGGUAUCCAACCAGAAAGCCACGGCUAACUACGUGCCAGCAGCCGCGGUAAUACGUAGGUGGCAAGCGUUGUUCGGAUUUAUUGGGCGUAAAGCGAGCGCAGGCGGUUUUUUAGGUCUGAUGUGAAAGCCUUCGGCUUAACCGGAGAAGUGCAUCGGAAACCGGGAGACUUGAGUGCAGAAGAGGACAGUGGAACUCCAUGUGUAGCGGUGAAAUGCGUAGAUAUAUGGAAGAACACCAGUGGCGAAGGCGGCUGUCUGGUCUGCAACUGACGCUGAGGCUCGAAAGCAUGGGUAGCGAACAGGAUUAGAUACCCUGGUAGUCCAUGCCGUAAACGAUGAGUGCUAAGUGUUGGAGGGUUUCCGCCCUUCAGUGCUGCAGUUUAACG